UGAGCACAGACAGACCUAAUGGACCUC
Molecule: non-coding RNA, 27 nt
Filed under: Rattus norvegicus (Norway rat)
Lineage: Eukaryota; Metazoa; Chordata; Mammalia; Rodentia; Muridae
Source: RNAcentral